UUUGAUCAUGGCUCAGAUUGAACGCUGGCGGCAGGCCUAACACAUGCAAGUCGAACGGUAGCACAGAGAGCUUGCUCUCGGGUGACGAGUGGCGGACGGGUGAGUAAUGUCUGGGAAACUGCCUGAUGGAGGGGGAUAACUACUGGAAACGGUAGCUAAUACCGCAUAACGUCGCAAGACCAAAGAGGGGGACCUUCGGGCCUCUUGCCAUCAGAUGUGCCCAGAUGGGAUUAGCUAGUAGGUGGGGUAAUGGCUCACCUAGGCGACGAUCCCUAGCUGGUCUGAGAGGAUGACCAGCCACACUGGAACUGAGACACGGUCCAGACUCCUACGGGAGGCAGCAGUGGGGAAUAUUGCACAAUGGGCGCAAGCCUGAUGCAGCCAUGCCGCGUGUAUGAAGAAGGCCUUCGGGUUGUAAAGUACUUUCAGCGGGGAGGAAGGUGUUGUGGUUAAUAACCACAGCAAUUGACGUUACCCGCAGAAGAAGCACCGGCUAACUCCGUGCCAGCAGCCGCGGUAAUACGGAGGGUGCAAGCGUUAAUCGGAAUUACUGGGCGUAAAGCGCACGCAGGCGGUCUGUCAAGUCGGAUGUGAAAUCCCCGGGCUCAACCUGGGAACUGCAUUCGAAACUGGCAGGCUAGAGUCUUGUAGAGGGGGGUAGAAUUCCAGGUGUAGCGGUGAAAUGCGUAGAGAUCUGGAGGAAUACCGGUGGCGAAGGCGGCCCCCUGGACAAAGACUGACGCUCA
Molecule: ribosomal RNA, 746 nt
Filed under: uncultured bacterium
Lineage: Bacteria
Description: bacterial SSU rRNA
Rfam family: Bacterial small subunit ribosomal RNA
Source: RNAcentral